RNAcentral lists this small RNA (245 nucleotides) under Pan troglodytes (chimpanzee). Its description in RNAcentral is "processed transcript". Lineage: Eukaryota; Metazoa; Chordata; Mammalia; Primates; Hominidae. The record is from RNAcentral.
UACACCCUCCUCGGCCUCCCAAAGUGCUAAGAUUACAGGUGUGAGCCACCACACCCGGUCUAAUGUUUAUUUUGUCUGGAAUUAUCUUCCUAGGAUUUUUACUGGAUCUACCAGACUGGAUGGAAAUGCAAUAGUUGACUUUGUCCGCUGGCUGUGUGCUGUGUCCAUGGAUGAACUGGCUUCCCCCCACCAUCCUCGCAUGUUCAGCUUGCAGAAGAUUGUGGAGAUAUCAUACUACAACAUGA